GAGGAGGAAAGAAGGGCUUCCCUGCUCAGGGGUGAGGGGGUGGCCCCCUGAAUGGAGCUCCCUGGAACCAUGGAUGACCCUUGCUGUCACUUCUUGCAACCCUGAGCUACAAAGAAUUGAGUCCAAGAAUAGUAUCCGUUAUGAUAAAACUGCUGGAUGUGUGGGUUGAGCGUGGGGGAGAAGGGGAAGUACCACACUAUCAGGGCUGAGGAAUCACCUUUUGGGUGGAAUGUCAGAACACCCAGUUCACUCAUACUCGGUUUACUCGCAUCUUGAGUCCAUAUUACUCAUCGCAUCCCCUCCAUGGAGAUAAGCAUAACACAGUUUCUGCAUCAAGGAGCUCACUUUCCAGUUGGGGAGGCAACCACAAGAAUAGAUCAAUAUGUGAUAGGUGGUAAGAAGGAAGUAGUUCAGGAGAAUGUAGGAGCACAGGGAAGGACACAGGAUUUACUUGGGAAAGAGGUCAGGGAAGUUUCUCUAGAGAACAUGAGCAUGUUUUUUGUCGUGUAUUCGAGAGUCAUUUGUUAUCAUCGUUUAUUGGCUCCCUUGGCUUUCCAGUCUCCACAUUUGUCCUCCAGGAGUUCCAAAUGGCACCAGUGCCUAAAUCUCGGGGUGGGGGGGUUAAUCUUGGGGUGGCUAAACAAAAUGAUACAAGUCCUUUUUACUCUCAGUGUGGACUUCCACUGGGUGCAGACACAGUAUUGUUGUUAGGAUCUUCACGAAGACCCCUCAAAACCUUUUACCUCCAUGAGCCAAAGAUCGGAUCAAGGCUAGGAAACAAAAGUCAACAGACAAACUCAUUGUAUGGCUCAAUGAUGACUAAUCACCCAUUUUAUCAAUCAUUAUUCUCCUGAAACCCAGAACAGGCAUUCUCCUAACCCCUCCACCCUGCUCAUUCAGACAGCUGCUCUGGUGGGGAUUGAGACUUAACUUGGAGCUACUCAUCUACAGCUGAGAGGCAGCCUUCUCCAUCCUUCAGGCUUCCUGACACUUUGUUUCUUCCUCUGACAUGACACUUAGCUUAUUCCACCUUGUGGCAUAGUUAUUUCUGUCACUGUCAAUGCCAUCUCUAGAUAUGGAACUCUUCGAAGGCAGGGUUGGGGCUUCGUUCAGUUCUGUCUGCCCUGACAAACAGCAGAUGGUUAGUACGUUGGGUUGAAUAAAAAUGUCAUAGAUAACGAAGUCUGUGUGAAUCCAGAGAACAUGAGACACAUUCUGCUUCUCUUAAUGUAAGGUCCUUGAUGCAUGAAGAUGAAACUGCACCGACUAGGAAAGGUCAGGAGAGGUACCAACACAUGUGCUAUUAAAGUAAGGUCCUUGAUACGUGUAGAUGAAACUGCACCAACUAGGAAAGGCCAGGAGAGGUACCAACACAUGUGCUACCAGGGAACACGGAACAUUGCAGCUGGGGGAAAGGGUCUUGGAGAAGAUCAGAACAUUUGAAGCAAGAGCUGUUCAAAGAAAAGGGGGAGAGAACAGAGAAGUGCAGCUUGUGUGUGCGGGUGGGGGAGUGAGGGAGAAUGCUGAGGUAGGAUGACCUUGUACUUUAUGUAAUGACCCUGAAGUACCCCAGGAUGCUGCUCCAACCUCUCCUGUGGCUCCCAGAUGCUGUAGGUCCCUUUUUUCCCUUAAUUUGUAUUUUAGGUUCAGGGGUGCAUAUGCAGGUUUGUUAUAUAGGUAAAUUGUAUGUUGUGGGGGUUUGGUGUACAGAUUAUUUUAUCACCCAGGUAAUAAGCAUAGUACUCAAUAGGUAGUUUUUUUUUUUUUUUUAAUCUUCACCCUCCUCCCACCCUUCACCCUUAAGUAGGUCCUGGUACCUGCUGUUCCCUUCUUUGUGUCCAUGUGUACUCAAUGUUCAGCAUCCACUCAUAAGUGAGAACAUGCAGUAUUUGGUUUUCUGUUCCUGUGUUAGUUCGCUUAGAAUAAUGGCCUCUAGCUCCGUCCAUGUUGCUGCAAAGGGCAUGAUCUUGUUCUUUUUUUUUUUUUUUAAUGACAGAAGUAUUCCAUGGCAUAUAUAUAUAUAUAUAAAUAAAAUAUUUUCUUUAUCCAGUUUACCAUCGAUGGCCAUUUAGGUUGAUUCCAUGUCUUUGGUAUUGUGAAUAGUGUUACAAUUAACAUACAUGUGCACAUGUCUUUAUGGUAGAAUGAUUUAUAUUCCUUUGGGUAUAUACCCAAUAAUGGGAUUGCUGGGUUGAAUGGUAGUUCUGUUUUAAGUUCUUUGAGAAAUCGCCAAACUACUUCCCAUGGCUGAACUAAUUAGUUCCCAUGACUGAACUAAUUAGUUCCCAUGGCUAAUUCCCAUGGCUAAUUAGUUCCCAUGGCUGAACUAAUUUACAUUCCCACCAGCAGUGUAUAACUGUUCGUUUUCUCCACAACCUCACCAACAUCUGUUAUUUUUUGACUUUUUAAAAUAGCCAUCCUGAUUGGUUUGAGAUGGUAUCUUAUUGUGGUUUCCAUUUGCAUUUCUCUAAUGUUUAGUGGUGUUGAGCAUUUUUUGUAUGUUUCUUGGCCACAUACAUAUGUCUUCUUUUGAAAUAUGUCUGUUUAUGUUCAAUGCCCACUUUUUAAUAGAGUUGUUUGUUUUUUGCUUGUACAUUUGUUUAAAUUCCCUAUGUAUUCUGUAUAUUAUUUGUCAGAUACAUAGUUUGUAAAUAUUUUCUCCCAUUAUGUAGGUUAUCUCUUUACUCUGCUGAUAGUUUCUUUUGCUGUGCAGAAGCUCUUUAGUUUAAUUAGAUCCCAUUUAUUAGUUUUUGGUUUUGUUGGGAUUUGCUUUUGGCAUCUUCAUCAUGAAAUCUCUGCCAGAUCCUAUGCUCAGAAUGGUAUUGUCUAGGUUAUCUUACAGGUUGUCAUAUUUUUUUAGUUUUAUAGUUUUAGGUUUUACAUUUAAGUCUUUAAUCCAUUGUGAGCUGAUUUUUAUACAUGGGGUAAGGAAGGGGUCCAGUUUCAAUCUUUUUAUAUGGCUAGCAAGUUAUCCCAGUACCAUUUAUUGAAUGGGAAGCCCUCUCCCCAUUGCUUGUUUUUGUUAACUUUGUCAAAGAUUGGAUGGUCACAGGUAUGCAGCAUUAUUUCUGAGCUCUCUAUUUUGUUCUGUUGCUCUAUGUGUCUGUUUUUGUACCGGUGCCAUGCUGUUUUGGUUACUGUAGCACUGUAGUGUAGUUUGAAGUCAUGGCUCCCUCUUUUUACUCUUCUUUUUUCUUUCUCAGAAAAGAGCAUGUAACAAUGUGGGGUUAGGGAUGAGCAGGCGGAUUAGAGUAGUAGAGGUAAAGGCAGAUAGAGAUCUUGAUCCAAUUAUCUUCAUUUCCUUCAUUUGUCCAACUUUGCACACUCCUGUAUGCACGGCCUUUGUAAGCUUCACCUUCUGUACAGGUGCCCAGCAACUGUCAAACUAGCCAGAGCUUAACAUGAGCACAGGCAUUCCCUAUGGACUGGCUGGGACACACCCACAUCCUUAGAUUCCACAUUUUGUCUGUAACACAGAUAAAUUCAUUACUAGGUAUACAAUUCUGUUUUGUUUUGUUUUGCUUUGCUUUGUUUUGAGUCAGGGUCUCAUUCUGUCAUCCAAGCUGGAGUGCAGUGGGACAAUCACCACUUACUGCAGCCUGGACUUUCCUGGGCUCAGGUAAUCCUCCCACCUCAGCCUCUUGAGCAGCUGGGGCUACAGGUGUGCAUCACCACUCCCAGCCAAAUUUUUUCUUUUUUUGUAAUGUAGAGACAGGGUUUCACCAUGUUGCCCAGGCUGGUCUCGAACUUCUCGGCUUAAGCAAUCUGCCUGCCUUGACCUCCCAAAGUGCUGGGAUUACAGGUGUGAGGCCCUGCACCCAGCUCAAUCCUGUUUUUAUACUAGAAGAACAUUUUCUAUCUGGGUCUUCCAAACUUGAUUAUUACUGGUUUAUUUGUCCUGUUCUUUUAUUGGUCCAGGAAAAUAUCCUGAACUCUUUAUUUCUCCUCCGUUCCCUCCUUGUUCUAUCCUAGCUCUAUCCCUUUCCUGAAUUAUCCCUUUGUCUAGCGCUAUCCCUUUCCUGAAUUAAGUCCGAAUACAAUCGGUCUUUGAGUGUGGAAUAGCUCCUAGCAGUCUAUCAGUCAACGGUUUCUCUUUGUGGUCACACUCUAUGUUUAUUCUGGAGACUAUAGCAUGUAAAGAAAAUGGACUUGGGAGUCAGACAAAUCUUGAUUCAAAUCUUGGUAGUGCCAUUCAUCAGCUGUGUGGCACUGAGCGCAUCAGUGGACCACUCUCUAAUCCUCAGUUGUCUUAUCUGUAAAACGAGAUGACACACCCCUGCCCAGGGUUAUGGUAGGAUUAGAAAUAAUAUGUGUAAGACAGCUUUCCCGGUGCCUGAUACAAGGUAAUUGUGCAAUAAGAAGUUACAAAUGUUCCUGAGUCACCCUUCUGGGUUCCUCUGCACAUCCAAUGCUGGACUCUUCAUGCCCAAGGAAACAUAUGGGGCACAAAAGUCAGUGGCUCUCAGCUCAGCAGAAGAGGCACAGGAAGGGGAUGGGCAGGGUCCUGGCUCCCCCUUUGUCCUUGGGGCCAGGCUUGUGGCCAGCCUGGAAAGACUGACAUGAACCCUCCAGCAUCUGGGGGUGCCAACCACCAAGAGCAGCACAGUUCUUAUCUACAAGCCACUUGUAGCAGGUGUGAACAUUUCAUCUUUCCUCUGGGGGUUGCAGCUCUCUCCCCAGUCUCGGUCGCUGCCUUUGGUUGUACCACUUCCCUUUUAUUCUCGCCUGAACCUCCCUCAUCUUUGCUCUACGGUGACAUCGCCCUGGGGAAGAGAAGCUGAGAGGAACUCCUCACUCAGCUAGCUUCAGGAGCCAUGACAUCAUCUGUACCAUGGAAAUUCCGCUCGCUCUCCUGAGCCCCCACAUUUGUCCCAGGCCUCAGAGUCUCUAUAAAGAGAGAUUCCCAACUCAGUAUCAGCACAGGACACAGCUGGGUUCUGAAGCUUCUGCGUUCUGUAGCCUCACCUCUGAGAAAACCUGUCUUCCACCGACACCAUGAAGCUGCGCGUGACGGUCCUGUCUCUCCUCGCGCUAGCAGCUGCCUUCUGCUCUCCAGCACUCUCAGCACCAAUGGGCUCAGACCCUCCCACCUCCUGCUGCUUUUCUUACACCGUGAGGAAGCUUCCUCGCAACUUUGUGGUAGAUUACUACGAGACCAGCAGCCUCUGCUCCCAGCCAGCUGUGGUAUUCCAAACCAAAAGAGGCAAGCAAGUCUGCGCUGACCCCAGUGAGACCUGGGUCCAGGAGUACGUGUAUGACCUGGAACUGAACUGAGCUGCCCAGAGACAGGAAGUCUUCAGGGAAGGUCACCUGAGCCUGGACGCUUCUCCAUGAGACGCAUCUUCUCCACACUCAGGACUCCUCUCCGCAGUUCCUGUCCCUUCUCUUAAUUUAAUCGUUUUUAUGUGUCGUGUUAUUGUAUUAGGUGUUAUUUCCAUUAUUUAUAUUUGUUUAGCCAAAGGAUACGUGUCCCCUGUGGGGAUGGUCCACAGUCACUGUUUCUCUGCUGCUGCAAAUACAUGGAUAACACUGUUAAUUCCAUGUGUUUUCAUAAUAAAACUUCAAAA
This 5567-nucleotide long non-coding RNA is filed under the name Macaca mulatta (Rhesus monkey). RNAcentral's name for it is "lncRNA (ENSMMUG00000054210.1)". Lineage: Eukaryota; Metazoa; Chordata; Mammalia; Primates; Cercopithecidae. The record is from RNAcentral.